RNAcentral lists this long non-coding RNA (491 nucleotides) under Ananas comosus (pineapple). RNAcentral's name for it is "long non-coding RNA (ACOM_LNC043595)". Lineage: Eukaryota; Viridiplantae; Streptophyta; Magnoliopsida; Poales; Bromeliaceae. The record is from RNAcentral.
GUUUGGAAGGUGCUCCAACUAAGGGUAUGCUGAAAUUUUUGUGAGAAAACUGAAAUCGCAAGUUUCCGGCUAUAUUUAUUAGUAGUCAAUGAUUUUGACGCCGUUUUGAUAUUGUUCGCAGCGAGAGGGUAAUUGACCGUUGGACCGUCUUCGACUGGCAUUGGAGGGCCUUUUGGCAGCUUCUCUUGAGGUAAAACACUAACCCAGAAUAGGGAUUCAAGGGGUUACUUUGUACUAAGUGUAAAUUAGGCCGAAAUCGGACAUUUCGGUCGUCAUUUUGACGCGAUGUUGAUGUUUACUUUCAGCAGGAUUGGAGCCUUGUUGAGCUGAUUAGUGGGACUUCUUGUGACUAUUUGGAGCCUAGUACUAGGUGGGUUUGACCUAACCAGAGCAAGUGAAGCUCCCCUAUGUUCUAUAUGUAUUAUAGAAGUGGCCUAGUUAUAUGCUUAUGUGAUUGUUAAAGGGCUCGGAAUUCGUCAUCAUGACGUUUU